UCUCCCGUGGCGCAGUUGGUUAGCGCGUCGUACUUAUAAGUGAAUGAGCCAUGCGAAUGUCGCGGGUUCGAGCCCCGCCGGGAGAA
Molecule: non-coding RNA, 86 nt
Organism: Aphelenchus avenae
Lineage: Eukaryota; Metazoa; Nematoda; Chromadorea; Rhabditida; Aphelenchidae
Source: the annotation of a GenBank genome assembly